RNAcentral lists this long non-coding RNA (6144 nucleotides) under Nicotiana benthamiana. RNAcentral describes it as "long non-coding RNA (NBEN_LNC023297)". Lineage: Eukaryota; Viridiplantae; Streptophyta; Magnoliopsida; Solanales; Solanaceae. The record is from RNAcentral.
UCUUCUAAUACAGAGUUAUCUUUUAUUUCAGUAAAGGUUGAUGAAACAGUCAUAGCCCUUCUUUGAAGUGUCCCAUUUGUCAUCUUAUUAUCAUAUUAUUUUAAAGCAAAAUCCUAACUCUUCCAUGGCCACAUCACCAAAUUCUCAAGGAUUGCUAUCCAAUGCGACUGUAUUUCCCCGGCUAGUCGACAGGGGCAGAUUUAUAGGUUAGUUUAUGGAAUACGUGAAUUCAUAGUCUCUUUGCUAUAAUAAAUCAGAUAUUUUAUUUUGAACUGUUCAUGAAGCCCAUGCUUCACUAACACUAAAUUGUGCUCUUGGUUAAAUACUAAGUUAUUUACCGAAAGGAACAAGGAUCAAUUCUUACAAAAUACUUUUUUCUAUCUAAUCUUUGGUGGUGAAUUCAUAUUUUAAAAAUUCUAAAUUCCUCUCUGGAGUUGCAGUCGCAUCAACUGUUAUACAUAUGUUUUGACUGUACAUUCAUGGAUUAUAUUGAUUUUGCAUUAUAGACCAAGCUGUUACUAUGAUAUUUUGUAUGAUCUCUUGUAUUUAAGUUUACUUAUCAAUUAUUCAACCUAUUACCCUAAUUUUAGAACUCCUUAUUCCUAUUGAGUUAAGUUGGUAAAAGAAAUAAUAUUAUAAAAGCAGUUUGUGCUAGCAUAAUUCUUCUAAUAUUUUUAUUCUGAUUGCUUUUUCCAAAUUAUUUAAUUCCAUACCAUAUGGAAUGUCUUAAUUAUUCCAUACCACGUGCUGAAAAACUAGUACUAUGAAAGUGUGGGAAAAAAUGGUUGAAGCGAGGGCGAGGAUGACAGUGUCUGUAUCCGAUAACAAGUACGGAUUCAUGUCGGGUCGUGCUACUACAGAAUAUAUACACCUUGUUAGGAGGUUGGCGAAACUAUACAGAGAGAGGAAGAAGGAUUUGCACAUGGUGUUUAUUGACUUAGAAAAAGCGUAUGACAAGGUUCCUAGAGAAGUUCUCUGGAGAUGCUUGAAGAUAAAAGGUGUACUGGUUUUCUGGCGAUUAAGGACAUGUAUGAUGGGACUAAGACUCGGAUUAGGACAGUAGGAGGCUGAGCAUUUUCCAGUUGUAAUGGGGUUAUACCAAGAUUCUGCGCUAAGUUCGUUCUUAUUCGCCCUAGUGAUGGACCCGUUGACACACCAUAUUCAAGGGGAGGUAUCGUGGUGCAUGCUAUUUUCCGAUCAUAUAGUUCUGAUUGAUGAGUCGUGAUCUGGUGUUAACGAAAUGCUGGAGGUUUGGAGACAGGCUCUUGAGUCUAAGGUUUCAAUUGAGCAGGACGGAUACGGAAUACCUGGAGUGUAAGUUCAGUGCUGAGCCGGGGGAAGCGGGCAUAGAUGUGAGGCUUGAAUCACAGGCCAUCCCAAGUAGAUGUAGCUUAAAGUACCUUGGCUCGGCCAUAUAGGGAGGAAGGGAGAUCGACGAAGAUGCCACACACCGCAUUAGGGUUGGAUGGAUUUAGUGGAGGUUAGCAUCUGGAGUCUUGUGUGACAAGAGAGUGCCAUCGACACUCAAAGACAAGUUUUAUAAAGUGGCGGUUAGACUGGCCAUGAUGUAUAGGGCUGAGUGUUGGCCUGUUAAGAACUUACAUAUCCAGAAGACGAGAGUAGCAGAAAUGAGGAUGUUGCGGUGGAUGUGCGGGCACACUAGGACGGAUAAGAUAAGGAAUGAUGAUAUUCGAGAGAAGGUGUGUGUCGCUCCCAUUAAUGAAAAUAUGCGGGAAGCGAGGCUCAGAUGGUUCGGGCGUAUUCAGAGGAGAAGCUCAGAUGCUCCGGUACAGAGGUGUGAGCAUCUGGUUGUGAAGGGCAACAGAAGAGGUAGAGGGUGGCCUAAGAAGUAUGGGGAGAGGUAAUCAGGCAGUAUAUGGCGAGGCUUCUAAUUUUCGAGGACAUGACACAUGAUAGAAAGAUGUGGAGAUCGAGUAUUAGGGUUGUAGGUUAGGAUGUAAUUAAGUACUGUCGUUCUUCGUACCAUUGUGGGACUAGUAUGGUAGGGUUUUUUGCCUAAGAUAGCUAGUGACAAUGUUGUCUCUUACUAUUUUUGCUUUCGAGUGCAUGACCUAUUUACUAGCCAUCGCUUUCGCUUUUGCUUUGCAUGUUUCUUUUGGAUUUUUUGUUGCUCCUACUUUUCCUGUGAUUUCUGUGGUUAUACUAAUAUUGUCCGAUUUUAUCCUUUGUCUUGAGCUAAGGGUCUUUCGCAAAUGGCCUCCCUAUUCCUCCGGCAUAGGGGUAAAGUCUGCAUACACACUACCCUCUCCAGGCCUCAUUAGUGGGAUUUUACUAGGUGGUUGUUGUUGUUGAUGUUUUUGUAUCUCUACAAAUAGAUUUAUAUAUUAAAAUUAUAUAAUUACAUUGAAUAAGGGAGCAUUGUCAACGAUAGCAAACUGUACUAGGGAGACUGCGAGAGAGGUGUUACGGGUCUCGACAGGCGUCUCUGGUAGGCACAAGGGCGACUGGUGGUAGAAUGAAGUGGUCCAAGGUAAUGCGGAAGUAAAGAAGGCAUCAUACCUGAAGUUACUGGGAGAAUAUGUGAGGAGGAGAGGCAAGCGUGCAUGGAUAGGUAUAAGGUAGCGAGGACGGAAGCUAAGCUGGCAGUCACGGAGGCUAAAACGAUGGCUUAUGGUCGUAUAUGUGAGGAACUUGGGGAAAAGAGCCGGGAGAACAAGUUAUUCCGGUUGGCCAAGUUGAGAGAGAGAAAAGCUCGGGAUUUGGACCAAGUGAGAUGCACCAAGGACGAAGAUGGUAGAGUUUUGACGGAAGAUGCCCAGAUUAAGAGGAGAUGGCAGACUUACUUUCAUAAACUUCUGAAUGAAGAAGAGCAUCGGAAUAUUGUACUAGGUGAAUUGGAUAAUUCUGAGAGUCACCGUACUUUGGGUACUACAGGAAUAUCGAGGUUGAGGAGGUCGUGGGAGUUAUGCGUAAGAUAAGUAGGGGUAGAGCGACCAGUCCAGACGAGAUUGCGGUGGAAUUUUGGUAAGUGUGUGGGGAGAGCAGGUUUCAAAUGGUUGACUAGGUUGUAUAAUGUUAUUUUUAAGGUGUAAAGGAUGCCGGAUGAGUGGAGGUAGAUUAUGGUAGUCCCAUUGUAUAAGAACAAAGGUGAUAUCCAAAUUUGUAACAAUUAUAGGGGUAUCAAAUUACUGAGUCAUACUAUGAAAGUGUGGGCGAGGGUUAGGAUGACAAUGUCUGCAUCCAAUAACCAGUUCGGGUUCAUGUUGGGUUGUUCUGCUACAGAAGCUAUACCCCUUGUUAUGAAGUUGGUGGAACUGUACAGAGAGAGGAAAAGUAUUUGCACAUGGUAUUUAUUGACUUAGAAAAAGCGCAUGAUAAGGUUCCUAGAGAAGUUCUCUAGAGAUGCUUGGAGACAAAAGGCGUGCCAGUUUCUUACAUUAUGGAGAUUAAGGACAUGUAUGAUGGGGCUAAGACUCGGGUUGGGACAGUAGGAGGCGACUCUUGAGCAUUUUCCAGUUGUAAUGGGGUUACACCAAGGUUUUUCCCUAAGUUCACUCUUAUUCGCCCUAUAAUGGACGCGUUGACACGCCAUAUUUAAUGGGAGGUGCCAUGGUGCAUGCUAUUCGCCGAUGAUAGAGUUCUGAUUGAUGAGUCGCGAUCCGGUUUUAAUGAGAGGAUGGAGGUUUGGAGACAAGAUCUUGAUUCUAAGGGUUUCAAGCUGAGUAGGACGAAGACAGAAUACCUAGAGUGUAAUUUCAGCAUUGAGACGGGGGUAGUGGGCAUGGAUGUGAGGCUUGACUCACAGGUCAUCCUAAAGAGAGACCGCUUCAAGUACCUUGGCUCGGUCAUCCAGGGAGAAGGGGAGAUUGACAAGGACGUCACACAUCGUAUUGGGGGUAGGAUGGAUGAAGUGGAGGUUAGCAUCUGGAGUCUUCUGUGACAAGAGAAUCCACCAACACUCAAAGAAAAUUUCUAUAAAGCGGUGGUUAGACCGGACAUGAUGUAUGGGGCUGAGUGUUGUCCUUUUAAGAGCUCACAUAUCCAGAAGAUGAGAGUAGCAGAAAUGCGGAUGUUGAGGUGGAUGUGGGGGGAAACUAGGAUAAGAUUAGGAAUGAUGAUAUACGGUAAAUGGUGCACGUCGCUCCCAUUGAUGACAAGAUGCAGGAAACAAGGCUCAGGUGGUUCGUGCAUGUUCAGAGGAGAAGCUCAGAUGCUCCGAUACGGAGGUGUGAGUGUCUGGCUGUGGAGGGCAAGAGGAGAGGUAGAGGGCGUCCUAAGAAGUAUUGAGGAGAGGGGAUCAGGCAGGAUAUGGCGAGACUUCAUAUUUUCGAAGACAUGACACGUGAUAGGAAGACGUGGAGGCCGAGUAUUAUAGUUGUAGGUUAGGAUAUAAUUGAGCAUUACCUACAAAAGCGAAAAUUGUAGGUUAGGAUACCAUUAUGGGACUAGUAUGGUAGGGGGUUUUUUGUCUAACAUAGCUAGUGACAAUAUUCUCUCUUACUAUUUUCGCUUUCGAGUGUAUGACCUAUUUACUAGCCAUCGCUUUUGCUUUUGCUUUGCAUAUUUCUUAUAGAUUUUAUGUUAUUCCUACUUUUCCUAUGAUUUCUCUGGUUAUACUAAUAUUAUCUCCUUUUUUCCUUUGCCUUGAGUUGAGGGUCUUUCGAAAACAGUUUCAAGAGUAGGGGUAAGGUUUGGGUACACACUACCCUCACCAUACCCUAUUAAUGGGAUUUUAUUAGAAUAUUGUUGUUUACCUUGCUCGAUAUUGAAUUUGGCUUGUUUGAGGUAAGUAACAUAUCUGAACCUGGAUUUAAGGGUAUUUUAUCCUGGGAACUAUGUUAUAAGAGAGGUAUUGAGGCAAUGCACAUUCUAGGUGACGAGUAUGUGGGCGUGAACAGAGGUAUUCAUGAUUUUAGUUGAUUAUUAGACUGUGACCGGACUUGCUUUGUUGUUAUAUAUUGUUACAUCCAUGUUCUCCCUACUCAUUUGAUUAUAUAAGCUGUGAAUCAUGUUAGAAAUUAUGUUUAGUCUAUGUAGUUAUUCGGUUGAGACCUAAUGAGGCUAUUUUUGUUGUUUUGAGUUAUCUAUUCUAACUUUAAUUAUAUACAUAGUCAUGAUUAUUUAUUUGUAUAUCAUAUCUUAGACUCUAUUUAUCAUUCAUUGUUAUAUCACGUUAUCAUUGUUUGGGUUGAGUGACAUGAGAUAUGUGAGCCCGUGAGACUGGAAAUAUUGAUGACUGAGUUGAGGUCUAAGAAGCGUGUUGUGAGUGAUAUUGUGGAUCGAGUUGCACGCCCAAGUAGGCCUUAUUGACUUUAUACAUAUUAUCGUUAUGGAUCGGGUUGUAUGCCACAGCAGAACUUAUAGGCUUUAUCUAUUAUUAUGGAAUUGGGUUGCAUGCCGCAGCAAUCCAUUUUGGUUUUAUAUUAGCGCUUGGGCAGGAUCUGCCCUUUCGGAGACUGAUAUACCAGCAGUGAGCGCAGGUACCGUAGAAUGUUAAGUGAUUGAGUGUGCUGAGCGAUUGAGAGCGAUGAGUGAGAGUGUGAUACAAUGAUAUUAAGUACUCUGAGAGUGUGAGUACAUGAGUUUAUCAAUGUAAUGCAUUACAUUUGACAUGCAUACUUGGCAUGUAGGCAUAGAGAUGCAUUUUCUCAUGUUAUACAGUAUUGUGACAUUCAUGACGUCUCAUGUUAUUUGAUAAUGAAACAGCUUAUAUGUUGUUGACAAUUUUCUGAUAUACUCAUAUUUUGGUGAUUUUGGUGAAAUAUUUGAGUUUGUACUGUUAUAUAUGAACGACAUGUUUAUUUUUCGUAACUGCGAACAAGCUGAGCAUCAUAUCUUUGAGUUAUUACUUGUACCGUUUUUAUUAUAUUGUUACGAGUUAUUCUUGGUUAUUGGUGUUUGACUAUGACCGUUCUUCAAGCUCGUCAUUGCUUUCAACCUAAGGUUAUGUUUGUUACUUAUUGAGUACAUGGUGCCGGUUGUACUCAUACUACACUUCUGCACCUUGCAUGCAGAUUUUGGAGCUGAUGUUGCUGCGUAUGGAGGGAGCUGGCAUUGGAGAUGUACCUGCGUUCCGGUUAAAGUUGCCUCUUGUUCUUGGUGGCUAUAAAUUUGUAAAUUUUGUUUAUGUAUAUUUCAAACAUAUGAUAUAUUUAUUUCAUACCAGCUUUGUAAACUCUAAAG